GCCACUGUAAUGUAGUGGUUUGAAUGUUGGACUACAACUCUGGAAACCAGGGUUCAAUUCCCCGCUCAGCCA
This is a non-coding RNA of Phrynosoma platyrhinos (Desert horned lizard), 72 nucleotides long. Lineage: Eukaryota; Metazoa; Chordata; Lepidosauria; Squamata; Phrynosomatidae. The record is from the annotation of a GenBank genome assembly.